RNAcentral lists this ribosomal RNA (293 nucleotides) under uncultured microorganism. RNAcentral describes it as "partial 16S ribosomal RNA". It matches the Rfam family "Bacterial small subunit ribosomal RNA", at positions 505 to 796 of the family's 1533-position model. The record is from RNAcentral.
GUGCCAGCAGCCGCGGUAAUACGUAGGGUGCAAGCGUUAAUCGGAAAUUACUGGGCGUAAAGCGUGCGCAGGCGGUUUUAUAAGUCUGAUGUGAAAUCCCCGGGCUCAACCUGGGAACUGCAUUGGAGACUGUAAGGCUAGAGUGUGUCAGAGGGGGGUAGAAUUCCACGUGUAGCAGUGAAAUGCGUAGAUAUGUGGAGGAAUACCGAUGGCGAAGGCAGCCCCCUGGGAUAACACUGACGCUCAUGCACGAAAGCGUGGGGAGCAAACAGGAUUAGAUACCCUGGUAGUCC